This 431-nucleotide ribosomal RNA is filed under the name uncultured bacterium. RNAcentral describes it as "bacterial SSU rRNA". It matches the Rfam family "Bacterial small subunit ribosomal RNA", at positions 29 to 507 of the family's 1533-position model. The record is from RNAcentral.
AACGAACGCUGGCGGCAGGCCUAACACAUGCAAGUCGAGCGAGACCUUCGGGUCUAGCGGCGGACGGGUUAGUAACGCGUGGGAACGUGCCCUUCUCUGCGGAAUAGCCACUGGAAACGGUGAGUAAUACCGCAUACGCCUUCGGGGGAAAGAUUUAUCGGAGAAGGAUCGGCCCGCGUUAGAUUAGAUAGUUGGUGGGUAACGGCCUACCAAGUCUACGAUCUAUAGCUGGUUUUAGAGGAUGAUCAGCAACACUGGGACUGAGACACGGCCCAGACUCCUACGGGAGGCAGCAGUGGGGAAUCUUAGACAAUGGGCGCAAGCCUGAUCUAGCCAUGCCGCGUGUGUGAUGAAGGUCUUAGGAUCGUAAAGCACUUUCGCCAGGGAUGAUAAUGACAGUACCUGGUAAAGAAACCCCGGCUAACUCCGUG